GCGCCCGUAGCCCAAUUGGAUAGAGCAGCGGAUUCCGGUUCCGCAGGUUGUGCGUUCGAAUCGCGCCGGGCGCG
Molecule: transfer RNA, 74 nt
Filed under: bacterium
Lineage: Bacteria
Also listed under: 3 other names
Description: tRNA-Arg
Rfam family: tRNA
About the family: Transfer RNA (tRNA) molecules are approximately 80 nucleotides in length. Their secondary structure includes four short double-helical elements and three loops (D, anti-codon, and T loops).
Source: RNAcentral